This 253-nucleotide ribosomal RNA is filed under the name uncultured bacterium. RNAcentral's name for it is "partial 16S ribosomal RNA". It matches the Rfam family "Bacterial small subunit ribosomal RNA", at positions 524 to 776 of the family's 1533-position model. The record is from RNAcentral.
UACGGAGGGUGCAAGCGUUGCUCGGAAUCACUGGGCGGAAAGCGUGCGCAGGCGGUUUUGUAAGCCAGAUGUGAAAUCCCCGGGCUUAACCUGGGAAUGGCAUUUGGGACUGCAAGGCUCGAGUGCGGCAGAGGAGACUGGAAUUCCUGGUGUAGCAGUGAAAUGCGUAGAUAUCAGGAGGAACACCGAUGGCGAAGGCAGGUCUCUGGGCUGACACUGACGCUCAUGCACGAAAGCGUGGGGAGCAAACAGG